This 490-nucleotide ribosomal RNA is filed under the name uncultured bacterium. RNAcentral describes it as "partial 16S ribosomal RNA". It matches the Rfam family "Bacterial small subunit ribosomal RNA", at positions 30 to 507 of the family's 1533-position model. The record is from RNAcentral.
AUUGAACGCUGGCGGCAGGCCUAACACAUGCAAGUCGAAUGGUAACAGGAAACAGCUUGCUGUUUCGCUGACGAGUGGCGGACGGGUGAGUAAUGUCUGGGAAACUGCCUGAUGGAGGGGGAUAACUACUGGAAACGGUAGCUAAUACCGCAUAACGUCGCAAGACCAAAGAGGGGGACCUUCGGGCCUCUUGCCAUCAGAUGUGCCCAGAUGGGAUUAGCUAGUAGGUGGGGUAAAGGCUCACCUAGGCGACGAUCCCUAGCUGGUCUGAGAGGGUGACCAGCCACACUGGAACUGAGACACGGUCCAGACUCCUACGGGAGGCAGCAGUGGGGAAUAUUGCACAAUGGGCGCAAGCCUGAUGCAGCCAUGCCGCGUGUAUGAAGAAGGCCUUCGGGUUGUAAAGUACUUUCAGCGGGGAGGAAGGGAGUAAAGUUAAUACCUUUGCUCAUUGACGUUACCCGCAGAAGAAGCACCGGCUAACUCCGUG